UACGGGGGGGAGCAAGCGUUGUUCGGAUUUACUGGGCGUAAAGGGCGCGUAGGCGGUCGUGACAAGUCACUUGUGAAAUCUCCGGGCUUAACUCGGAACGGUCAAGUGAUACUGUCGGACUAGAGUACAGAAGGGGCAACUGGAAUUCUCGGUGUAGCGGUGAAAUGCGUAGAUAUCGAGAGGAACACCAGAGGUGAAGACGGGUUGCUGGGCCGACACUGACGCUGAGGCGCGAAAGCCAGGGGAGCAAACGGG
RNAcentral lists this ribosomal RNA (255 nucleotides) under uncultured bacterium. RNAcentral's name for it is "partial 16S ribosomal RNA". It matches the Rfam family "Bacterial small subunit ribosomal RNA", at positions 524 to 776 of the family's 1533-position model. The record is from RNAcentral.